AGGGAUUAUUUCGGGGUCUCCUUCUCUGUUUUUGGGGUUAUUUUGGGGGUCUCCUUCUCUAUUUUUGGGAUUAUUUUCGGGGUCUCCUUGCUUAUUUUUGGGAUUUGUUUUUAGGGAUUAUUUUGGGGUCUCCUUCUCUGUUUUUGGGAUUAUUUUCGGGCUCUUCUUCUCUAUUUCUGGGAUUGUUUUGGGGGCUCCCUCGUAGAUUUUUGGUGUUUUUUUGGGGGGCUCCUCUCCCCUUUAUUUAUUUAUUUAUUUAUUUAUUUUAUUUACUUAAAUCUGGGGGUUCCUCUCCCCCUUCCCCUCUGCAAUUUUUGGGGCAAAAAAAAGGAGAAAAACAGAGUGGGGGGAGUUGAAUUUAUUUUCUUUUUAUAACAAGAGGAGGGGGCUUCUAAUUUAUUUUAUUUUUUAGGAAAAAAGUGGGGUCCUUUCUCCUGAUUUUAUUUUUUUUUUUGUUU
This 458-nucleotide long non-coding RNA is filed under the name Zonotrichia albicollis (white-throated sparrow). Its description in RNAcentral is "lncRNA (ENSZALG00000000516.1)". Lineage: Eukaryota; Metazoa; Chordata; Aves; Passeriformes; Passerellidae. The record is from RNAcentral.